RNAcentral lists this ribosomal RNA (547 nucleotides) under uncultured bacterium. RNAcentral describes it as "bacterial SSU rRNA". It matches the Rfam family "Bacterial small subunit ribosomal RNA", at positions 355 to 896 of the family's 1533-position model. The record is from RNAcentral.
UAGGGAAUAUUGCGCAAUGGGGGGAACCCUGACGCAGCCAUGCCGCGUGAAUGAAGAAGGCCUUCGGGUUGUAAAGUUCUUUCGGUAUUGAGGAAGGUUGAUGUGUUAAUAGCACAUCAAAUUGACGUUAAAUACAGAAGAAGCACCGGCUAACUCCGUGCCAGCAGCCGCGGUAAUACGGAGGGUGCGAGCGUUAAUCGGAAUAACUGGGCGUAAAGGGCACGCAGGCGGUUAUUUAAGUGAGGUGUGAAAGCCCUGGGCUUAACCUAGGAAUUGCAUUUCAGACUGGGUAACUAGAGUACUUUAGGGAGGGGUAGAAUUCCACGUGUAGCGGUGAAAUGCGUAGAGAUGUGGAGGAAUACCGAAGGCGAAGGCAGCCCCUUGGGAAUGUACUGACGCUCAUGUGCGAAAGCGUGGGGAGCAAACAGGAUUAGAUACCCUGGUAGUCCACGCUGUAAACGCUGUCGAUUUGGGGGUUGGGGUUUAACUCUGGCGCCCGUAGCUAACGUGAUAAAUCGACCGCCUGGGGAGUACGGCCGCAAGGUUA